AUGAUAGCACCCUAUGAAAUAUGUGAAUAUAUACUACUACCACUACCAACUACAACUUGUGACCAAUCACAUAAAGAUAUAUACUACUACCACUACCAACUACCACUACCAACUACCGCUGAUUGUAGCCACUGCAUACAGUGUUCGCGCCGCCAUGAUGGUGCCCGACGAGGACGGCACAGGGCGGCGGAGUCGUGCAUAUCCAGCGGUGAGAUCGAACAGCGAGGCGAGGUGACCGGCAGCGAACGGGCAGGGCCUGCGGCGUCGGCUGCAGAUCUCCUGGAACAGAGAAAAAGAGAGAGAGAGGUAGAGACUGAGGAAGGAGAGGUAGGGCGCAGGAAGAGGAGAGGGAUACUGGUGUCCAUGGUGAGGCCUCUGUUGUCCACCGGCAAACCUCCAUGGCUAAGGAGAUGCACCGCCGACCCGCGCGAGGGACGCAACCACCUGGACCCGCGCUUCCGGCCGCGGCGCUGGAUCAUGCUGUCCAAUCGCACCGAUGGCGACGGCCGCCGCUUCCUCAACCUCUCCACCGACGCCAGCGCCCGCGUCGACCUCCGGGAGCUCUCCCGGCACCACCUCGAGGCCAGCGCGGAGGGCCUCCUGCUCCUGCACGACAAGGCGAGCCACGCCGUGCACCUCCUCAACCCGCUCACCAGGGCCCUCACCGACCUCCCGCCCGUCACCGAGGACCUUGGCGGCGCGUACGCAGUCUGGACGGGGCCGUUCCAUUCCGCGGCGCGCAUCAUCUACGCCGGCGUCUCUGAUGAAACCUCCCCAUCGCCAGACCAACCCAUGUCAUGUCGAUUCUCGUCGGCCUCAACCAUGCAGGGGCGCUUCUACUUCUCAACUGUCGAAGGGUACAUAAUACAGGUGAGGCUCUGCCCAGAGCCUCGUCUGGUGCCCGUGGUCGUGGACCAGCCCAACACCGACUACAACAUGUUCUGCUACCUCGUCCCUCCCGACGACCACCACCGCGGUGGCGGCAUGCUCAUGGUUCGCUACUACCUCAGCCUCGACCACCUCAGCGCCGACGAGCGGAGAAUCAUGAAACGCAGGAGGAAGGUCAUGGACGUGAUCAGGGUGGAGCACCAUGUGAAGGCGCAACGGUGGAACCUGAUCCAGGUGUUUGAGGUGGAUGUGGCCGGGAAGAGACUUGUGCCGGUGGAGGACAUUGGCCGGCACCGCGCCGUGUUUGUCGGGGACGCGGCGUGCUUCUCCCUCUCGGCCAAGAGGCUUCCAUGCGUCGCAGGGAACGCCGUGUACAUGGGGGCGCGCGGUGCCCGCUGCCCUCCCGUCGGCGUGUGGUAUCUGGCGGACAAGACCGCUGAUCCGUCGUUUGUGUUCGCCACCGACGUGCCAGGGCUUCUAGACGAUAUAUCAGUGAAACGGUACCGCCAGAGCAGAUCCAGAGCUGAAUCUACUGCCUCUUGCUCGCCCCUGUACCCUCCAGGAGUACCUCGUCUGUUGCGCAGGCCUCCUUGGCGGCCUCAAAGACUAAUUCAGGAGGUCAUCAUCACCAAGUUAAGGGAAGUUCUGAAGGAUGAACAUACAAGCCAGUAUAGAAAAUGA
This 1569-nucleotide ribosomal RNA is filed under the name Triticum aestivum (bread wheat). Its description in RNAcentral is "partial small subunit ribosomal RNA". Lineage: Eukaryota; Viridiplantae; Streptophyta; Magnoliopsida; Poales; Poaceae. The record is from RNAcentral.